RNAcentral lists this ribosomal RNA (372 nucleotides) under uncultured organism. RNAcentral's name for it is "partial 16S ribosomal RNA". It matches the Rfam family "Bacterial small subunit ribosomal RNA", at positions 526 to 896 of the family's 1533-position model. The record is from RNAcentral.
GUAGGGGUCCAAGCGUUAAUCGGAAUUACUGGGCGUAAAGCGUGCGCAGGGCGGUUGUGCAAGACCGAUGUGAAAUCCCCGGGCUUAACCUGGGAAUUGCAUUGGUGACUGCACGGCUAGAGUGUGUCAGACGGGGGGUAGAAUUCCACGUGUAGCAGUGAAAUGCGUAGAGAUGUGGAGGAAUACCGAUGGCGAAGGCAGCCCCCUGGGAUAACACUGACGCUCAUGUACGAAAGCGUGGGGAGCAAACAGGAUUAGAUACCCUGGUAGUCCACGCCCUAAACGAUGUCAACUAGUUGUUGGGGAUUCAUUUCCUUAGUAACGUAGCUAACGCGUGAAGUUGACCGCCUGGGGAGUACGGUCGCAAGAUUA